CAGUCGCCACGGUAAUACGAAGGGGGCAAGCGUUGUUCGGAAUUACUGGGCGUAAAGGGCGCGUAGGCGGCUUAUCAAGUCAGGCGUGAAAUUCCCGGGCUCAACCUGGGGGCUGCGCUUGAUACUGAUGAGCUUGAAUGCGGGAGAGGAUAGUGGAAUUCCCAGUGUAGAGGUGAAAUUCGUAGAUAUUGGGAAGAACACCAGUGGCGAAGGCGGCUAUCUGGCCCGUAAUUGACGCUGAGGCGCGAAAGCGUGGGGAGCAAACAGGAUUAGAUACCCCCGUAGUCCCUGUCUCUUAUAC
This 301-nucleotide ribosomal RNA is filed under the name uncultured bacterium. RNAcentral's name for it is "partial 16S ribosomal RNA". It matches the Rfam family "Bacterial small subunit ribosomal RNA", at positions 509 to 807 of the family's 1533-position model. The record is from RNAcentral.